CAUGCAGUCGAACGGUGUCUUCGGACACAGUGGCGGACGGGUGAGUAACGCGUGAGAAUCUGCCUCUAGGUUGGGGACAACAGUUGGAAACGACUGCUAAUACCCGAUGUGCCGUAAGGUAAAAGAUUUAUUGCCUGGAGAGGAGCUCGCGUCUGAUUAGCUAGUUGGUGGGGUAAAAGCCCACCAAGGCAGCGAUCAGUAGCUGGUCUGAGAGGAUGAGCAGCCACACUGGGACUGAGACACGGCCCAGACUCCUACGGGAGGCAGCAGUGGGGAAUUUUCCGCAAUGGGCGAAAGCCUGACGGAGCAAUACCGCGUGAGGGAGGAAGGCCUUUGGGUUGUAAACCUCUUUUCUCAGGGAAGAGGAUCUGACGGUACCUGAGGAAUAAGCAUCGGCUAACUCCGUGCCAGCAGCCGCGGUAAUACGGAGGAUGCAAGCGUUAUCCGGAAUCAUUGGGCGUAAAGCGUCCGCAGGUGGUUUUUCAAGUCUGCUGUUAAAGACUGGAGCUCAACUCCGGAAAGGCAGUGGAAACUGGAAGACUAGAGUUCGGUAGGGGUAGCGGGAAUUCCCAGUGUAGCGGUGAAAUGCGUAGAUAUUGGGAAGAACAUCGGUGGCGAAGGCGCGCUACUGGACCGAAACUGACACUCAGGGACGAAAGCUAGGGGAGCGAAAGGGAUUAGAUACCCCUGUAGUCCUAGCUGUAAACGAUGGAAACUAGGUGUGGCUUGUAUCGACCCGAGCCGUGCCGUAGCUAACGCGUUAAGUUUCCCGCCUGGGGAGUACGCACGCAAGUGUGAAAC
Molecule: ribosomal RNA, 801 nt
Filed under: uncultured Chroococcales cyanobacterium
Lineage: Bacteria; Bacillati; Cyanobacteriota; Cyanophyceae; Chroococcales
Description: bacterial SSU rRNA
Rfam family: Bacterial small subunit ribosomal RNA
Source: RNAcentral